UCACCUCCGCGCAGCGUUGGUCUUCCCGCCGCGGCUGUGGGACGUGGAGGGGCGCCCGGGAGGGAAGACUCAGGGCCCAGCAUCUGCUCGGGAGUCCCGGGGCCCCUGACCCCCUCUGCAGUUAUUAAGGGCGCCGGUUCCCGAGGCACCGAGAUGAUCAUGAUUGCAUCAGCCAGACAGAAGCGAAGCCGGGAGCUGCGCGGUGAGCGAGCAAACUUAUGACCUUUGCAGCGUGCGGCAGUAUCAUCCAUCACCCAGGCGCCGCUUACGGGGAUGAAGGGCGCUGGGAGCUCACACAGGGUCGCUGUCACGCCUACCGCGCUCUCUGGGGACCUCCUCUCUGGCCUGCAGGCCAGGGCUUAACAGUCUUGCAGCAGAUGGUGCCCGGGCUCCCGCUGCCAACCUUGCUAGGCGGUGCCAACCUCAGUCCUGGCAGACAACGGGCAGACGAGAAGAGGAUCUCCUGGCUGGCCAAGCCGACCCUCCCCCACCCGGCAUCGAGCUCAAGACCCCCCCCACACGCUUGCCCCACUCCAGCGACCACUUCAGCCUCCCUCUCACUGGGUCCGCUCCCAGGUCCCCAAACUCCUCGUCUCCUUCUGCUCCCUUCCCCACACCUUCCCGCUCCUCGCCACCUGCCGCCCUGACCAGGGCCGGCGUAUUUGCAUAUUUACAUAUGCAAAUAAUAACAUUUGCAUACAGCGCUCCGCAGGGGUGUCUCCGCGAGAGCCGGUUAGCUGUCUGCCCUGCGUCCUCACUCGGUACCUGUCGGAAAGGGUUAGGGCAGGGGCCGCGCGGGAGGGGUUAGGCCCCCGGCCUAGCUAGCUCGGUUCCCGGAGGACUUGAGGAAGUGUUGCCAUGGAGACGGCACGCACCCCACCCCCUCCCAGGCCCAGGGUCUCGGGCUUGGUGUCUCUGGUUCUCUCCCCUUACCCACCCUCUACCCCCUCCCCAUCCCUCGCUCUCCAACCGAGAUCUUGCAUCGCCCCCUGGCGGCCCAGCUCGGCGGCAAGCCAGAUUCCGAAAUACAAGGGGCUGCCUGCGGCUAAAUAGCCAAGAGCAAGGGGGACCUACCCUACUACAAGAUCCGGCUCCCAGCCGCUGGGGCGCGUGGGCGGCAACUGCAGCUCCGCGCUCCCCUUUCUUCACUGACCACAGAGGCCUCACCUGGCGGGCGCACUUGUCUUCCCACCUCCCGCCAACCUCAGCCCAGAUGGGUCUCAGGCUACCCGAUGGUAACGAGGUGGGGCAGUUAGGGAGGAUUCUCCACCCCUCCGCAGGCCGUCUCCUCAACCCCAGUUAAAGAACAACUUUUCGGCCGGGCGCGGUGACUCAAGCCUGUAAUCCCAG
This is a long non-coding RNA of Rhinopithecus roxellana (golden snub-nosed monkey), 1350 nucleotides long. RefSeq lists it as uncharacterized. The transcript is spliced from 3 exons. NCBI's taxonomy places the organism in Eukaryota, Metazoa, Chordata, Mammalia, Primates, Cercopithecidae. The record is from RefSeq and is a predicted model, not a curated record.